AGAGUUUGAUCAUGGCUCAGAUUGAACGCUGGCGGCAUGCCUUACACAUGCAAGUCGAACGGCAGCACGGGGGCAACCCUGGUGGCGAGUGGCGAACGGGUGAGUAAUACAUCGGAACGUGUCCUGUAGUGGGGGAUAGCCCGGCGAAAGCCGGAUUAAUACCGCAUACGCUCUACGGAGGAAAGGGGGGGAUCUCAGGACCUCCCGCUACAGGGGCGGCCGAUGGCAGAUUAGCUAGUUGGUGGGGUAAAGGCCUACCAAGGCGACGAUCUGUAGCUGGUCUGAGAGGACGACCAGCCACACUGGGACUGAGACACGGCCCAGACUCCUACGGGAGGCAGCAGUGGGGAAUUUUGGACAAUGGGCGAAAGCCUGAUCCAGCAAUGCCGCGUGUGUGAAGAAGGCCUUCGGGUUGUAAAGCACUUUUGUCCGGAAAGAAAACCUCCGCCCUAAUAUGGUGGGGGGAUGACGGUACCGGAAGAAUAAGCACCGGCUAACUACGUGCCAGCAGCCGCGGUAAUACGUAGGGUGCAAGCGUUAAUCGGAAUUACUGGGCGUAAAGCGUGCGCAGGCGGUCCGCUAAGACAGAUGUGAAAUCCCCGGGCUUAACCUGGGAACUGCAUUUGUGACUGGCGGGCUAGAGUAUGGCAGAGGGGGGUAGAAUUCCACGUAGCAGUGAAAUGCGUAGAGAUGUGGAGGAAUACCGAUGGCGAAGGCAGCCCCCUGGGCCAAUACUGACGCUCAUGCACGAAAGCGUGGGGAGCAAACAGGAUUAGAUACCCUAGUAGUCC
This 791-nucleotide ribosomal RNA is filed under the name uncultured bacterium. Its description in RNAcentral is "bacterial SSU rRNA". It matches the Rfam family "Bacterial small subunit ribosomal RNA", at positions 8 to 796 of the family's 1533-position model. The record is from RNAcentral.